RNAcentral lists this transfer RNA (82 nucleotides) under Erwinia sp. CPCC 100877. RNAcentral's name for it is "tRNA-Leu". It matches the Rfam family "tRNA". From Rfam's summary of the family: Transfer RNA (tRNA) molecules are approximately 80 nucleotides in length. Their secondary structure includes four short double-helical elements and three loops (D, anti-codon, and T loops). Lineage: Bacteria; Pseudomonadati; Pseudomonadota; Gammaproteobacteria; Enterobacterales; Erwiniaceae. The record is from RNAcentral.
GCGGAUGUGAUGGAAAGGCAGACAUGCAAGAUUGAGGGUCUUGUGAGCAUAGCUCGUGCGGGUUCAAGUCCCGCCGUCCGCA